RNAcentral lists this ribosomal RNA (698 nucleotides) under uncultured Bacillus sp. RNAcentral describes it as "bacterial SSU rRNA". It matches the Rfam family "Bacterial small subunit ribosomal RNA", at positions 539 to 1235 of the family's 1533-position model. Lineage: Bacteria; Bacillati; Bacillota; Bacilli; Caryophanales; Bacillaceae. The record is from RNAcentral.
AGGAUGUCGGAUUAUUGGGCGUAAGCGCGCGCAGGCGGUUCCUUAAGUCUGAUGUGAAAGCCCCCGGCUCAACCGGGGAGGGUCAUUGGAAACUGGGGAACUUGAGUGCAGAAGAGGAGAGCGGAAUUCCACGUGUAGCGGUGAAAUGCGUAGAGAUGUGGAGGAACACCAGUGGCGAAGGCGGCUCUCUGGUCUGUAACUGACGCUGAGGCGCGAAAGCGUGGGGAGCGAACAGGAUUAGAUACCCUGGUAGUCCACGCCGUAAACGAUGAGUGCUAAGUGUUAGAGGGUUUCCGCCCUUUAGUGCUGCAGCAAACGCAUUAAGCACUCCGCCUGGGGAGUACGGCCGCAAGGCUGAAACUCAAAGGAAUUGACGGGGGCCCGCACAAGCGGUGGAGCAUGUGGUUUAAUUCGAAGCAACGCGAAGAACCUUACCAGGUCUUGACAUCCUCUGACAACCCUAGAGAUAGGGCGUUCCCCUUCGGGGGACAGAGUGACAGGUGGUGCAUGGUUGUCGUCAGCUUGUGUCGUGAGAUGUUGGGUUAAGUCCCGCAACGAGCGCAACCCUUGAUCUUAGUUGCCAGCAUUCAGUUGGGCACUCUAAGGUGACUGCCGGUGACAAACCGGAGGAAGGGUGGGGGAUGACGUCAAAUCAUCAUGCCCCUUAUGACCUGGGCUACACACGUGCUACAAUGGGA